GGAGAACGAGUAGUUGUGGUAUCUCAUGGGGGUGCAAUCAGAGCACUUCACAGGCGGGCUUCCCCGCAUAGGCGGUCUAAAAGUAAGAUCUGGAAUACAUCUGUUGGUAUACUUCACUUAUCUGAUAAGGAUGAAUGGACUAUUAAACUCUGGGCCGACAUAAGUCAUCUCAACAAGACAGGAUUUCUGCACUCAGGUUUUGGUGGGGAGAAAACUUCGGGUUGAUUUUGCAUUUUGCAUUCCACUCUUAACAGUCUGAUAAGGAUGAGUGGACUAUUAAACUCUGGGCCGACAUAAGUCAUCUCAACAAGACAGGAUUUCUGGACUCAGGUUUUGGUGGGGACAAAACUUCGGGUUGACUUUGCAUGCCACUCUCAGC
RNAcentral lists this long non-coding RNA (379 nucleotides) under Nicotiana benthamiana. RNAcentral describes it as "long non-coding RNA (NBEN_LNC012699)". The record is from RNAcentral. Lineage: Eukaryota; Viridiplantae; Streptophyta; Magnoliopsida; Solanales; Solanaceae.